Molecule: ribosomal RNA, 787 nt
Filed under: Escherichia coli
Lineage: Bacteria; Pseudomonadati; Pseudomonadota; Gammaproteobacteria; Enterobacterales; Enterobacteriaceae
Description: bacterial SSU rRNA
Rfam family: Bacterial small subunit ribosomal RNA
Source: RNAcentral
GAACUGAAGAGUUUGAUCCUGGCUCAGAUUGAACGCUGGCGGCAUGCCUUACACAUGCAAGUCGAACGGCAGCAUGAUCUAGCUUGCUAGAUUGAUGGCGAGUGGCGAACGGGUGAGUAAUACAUCGGAACGUGCCCUGUAGUGGGGGAUAACUAGUCGAAAGAUUAGCUAAUACCGCAUACGACCUGAGGGUGAAAGUGGGGGACCGCAAGGCCUCAUGCUAUAGGAGCGGCCGAUGUCUGAUUAGCUAGUUGGUGAGGUAAAGGCUCACCAAGGCGACGAUCAGUAGCUGGUCUGAGAGGACGAUCAGCCACACUGGGACUGAGACACGGCCCAGACUCCUACGGGAGGCAGCAGUGGGGAAUUUUGGACAAUGGGCGAAAGCCUGAUCCAGCAAUGCCGCGUGUGUGAAGAAGGCCUUCGGGUUGUAAAGCACUUUUGUCCGGAAAGAAAUGGCUCUGGUUAAUACCUGGGGUCGAUGACGGUACCGGAAGAAUAAGGACCGGCUAACUACGUGCCAGCAGCCGCGGUAAUACGUAGGGUCCAAGCGUUAAUCGGAAUUACUGGGCGUAAAGCGUGCGCAGGCGGUUGUGCAAGACCGAUGUGAAAUCCCCGAGCUUAACUUGGGAAUUGCAUUGGUGACUGCACGGCUAGAGUGUGUCAGAGGGGGGUAGAAUUCCACGUGUAGCAGUGAAAUGCGUAGAGAUGUGGAGGAAUACCGAUGGCGAAGGCAGCCCCCUGGGAUAACACUGACGCUCAUGCACGAAAGCGUGGGGAGCAAACAGGA